CUGACCGAGCAACGCCGCGUGAACGAUGAAGUAUUUCGGUACGUAAAGUUCUUUUAUUAGGGAAGAAAAGAUGGUGGAAAAACCAUUAUGACGGUACCUAAUGAAUAAGCCCCGGCUAACUAUGUGCCAGCAGCCGCGGUAAUACAUAGGGGGCAAGCGUUAUCCGGAAUUAUUGGGCGUAAAGGGUGCGUAGGCGGUUAAAUAAGUUUAUGGUCUAAGUGCAAUGCUUAACGUUGUGAUGCUAUAAAAACUGUUUAGCUAGAGUUGGAUAGAGGCAAGUGGAAUUCCAUGUGUAGUGGUAAAAUGCGUAAAUAUAUGGAGGAACACCAGAAGCGAAGGCGGCUUGCURGGUCUUAACUGACGCUGAGGCACGAAAGCGUGGGGAGCAAACAGGAUUAGAUACCCUGGUAGUCCACGCCCUAAACGAUGAGUACUAAACAUUGGGUAAAACYAGUGUUGAAGUUAACACAUUAAGUACUCCGCCUGAGUAGUACGUACGCAAGUAUGAAACUUAAAGGAAUUGACGGGACUCCGCACAAGCGGUGGAUCAUGUUGUUUAAUUCGAAGGUACCCGAAAAACCUCACCAGGUCUUGACAUGCUUUUGCAAAGCGGUAGAAAUAUCGUGGAGGUUAUCAGAAGCACAGGUGGUGCAUGGUUGUCGUCAGCUCGUGUCGUGAGAUGUUGGGUUAAGUCCCGCAACGAGCGCAACCCUUGUUGUUAAUUGCCAUCAUUAAGUUGGGGACUUUAGCAAGACUGCCAGUGAUAAAUUGGAGGAAGGUGGGGACGACGUCAAAUCAUCAUGCCCCUUAUGACCUGGGCUACAAACGUGAUACAAUGGCUGUUACAAAGGGCAGCUAAAGCGUAAGCUUUUGGCGAAUCUCAAAAAAGCAGUCUCAGUUCGGAUUGAAGUCUGCAACUCGACUUCAUGAAGUUGGAAUCGCUAGUAAUCGCGAAUCAKCAUGUCGCGGUGAAUACGUUCUCGGGGUUUGUACACACCGCCCGUCAAACCACGAAAGUUGGCAAUACCCAAAGCCGGUGGCCUAACUUCGCAAGAAGAGGGAGCCGUCUAAGGUAGGGUUGAUAAUUGGGGUUAAGUCGUAACAAGGUAUCCCUACCGGAAGGUGGGGAUGGAUCACCUCCUUUCUAAGGAAAAAAGUUAUCAUCUUCAGUUUUGAGAGACUUAAAAAAGUUUUUCGUUUUUU
This 1203-nucleotide ribosomal RNA is filed under the name Candidatus Phytoplasma australiense. RNAcentral's name for it is "bacterial SSU rRNA". It matches the Rfam family "Bacterial small subunit ribosomal RNA", at positions 383 to 1533 of the family's 1533-position model. The record is from RNAcentral. Lineage: Bacteria; Bacillati; Mycoplasmatota; Mollicutes; Acholeplasmatales; Acholeplasmataceae.